GUCGAAGGAGCGGAGCUUAGAGCCUUUACUUUAUGUAAAGUGCACUCACUCUAAAGGCGUACCUUUUGCAUGAUGGGUCAGUAAGGAAAUGGGAACAACGGCUUAAGCCAUUAGGUGUCAGCGCUUUUCAGAGGUGGAAUCUUCUAGUUCUUCCUAUUUAACCAAAACUGAUCGAUCUAGCCAUUAGCAGGUUGAAGAGAGCUCUAACAGGCCUUGGAGGACCGAAGCCACGUAUGUGGCAAAAUACGAGGAUGACUUGUGGCUAGGGGUGAAAGGCCACCUUAGUUUACAAGAAGUUUUCUUACCAAAGAAAGUGGAC
This 319-nucleotide non-coding RNA is filed under the name Nicotiana attenuata. Its description in RNAcentral is "Bacterial large subunit ribosomal RNA". It matches the Rfam family "Bacterial large subunit ribosomal RNA", at positions 570 to 873 of the family's 2925-position model. Lineage: Eukaryota; Viridiplantae; Streptophyta; Magnoliopsida; Solanales; Solanaceae. The record is from Rfam by way of RNAcentral.